RNAcentral lists this ribosomal RNA (255 nucleotides) under uncultured bacterium. Its description in RNAcentral is "partial 16S ribosomal RNA". It matches the Rfam family "Bacterial small subunit ribosomal RNA", at positions 524 to 777 of the family's 1533-position model. The record is from RNAcentral.
UACAGAGGUCUCAAGCGUUUGUUCGGAUUCAUUGGGCGUAAAGGGUGCGUAGGCGGCGCGGUAAGUCGGGUGUGAAAUCUCGGAGCUUAACUCCGAAACUGCAUUCGAUACUGCCGUGCUUGAGGACUGGAGAGGAGACUGGAAUUUACGGUGUAGCGGUGAAAUGCGUAGAUAUCGUAAGGAAGACCAGUGGCGAAGGCGGGUCUCUGGACAGUUCCUGACGCUGAGGCACGAAGGUCAGGGGAGCAAACGGGG